Molecule: ribosomal RNA, 253 nt
Filed under: uncultured bacterium
Lineage: Bacteria
Description: partial 16S ribosomal RNA
Rfam family: Bacterial small subunit ribosomal RNA
Source: RNAcentral
UACGGAGGGGGCUAGCGUUGUUCGGAAUUACUGGGCGUAAAGCGCACGUAGGCGGCUUUGUAAGUUAGAGGUGAAAGCCCGGGGCUCAACUCCGGAAUUGCCUUUAAGACUGCAUCGCUAGAAUUGUGGAGAGGUAAGUGGAAUUCCGAGUGUAGAGGUGAAAUUCGUAGAUAUUCGGAAGAACACCAGUGGCGAAGGCGGCUCUCUGGACCGAGACUGACGCUGAGGCGCGAAAGCGUGGGGAGCAAACAGG